CUACCCGCCGCCCCCAGCCGCCUCUUACUGCCGGAUCCGACCCGACCACCAUCGCCAUGGCUCGGCGCCUCCACCUCCCGGCGAUGCAUCCGACCUCCCCGCGCGGUGUGUCCACCCCCGCCGACGCGUCCCGCCGCCCUAACCCUCCCCUUCCUCGUGUCAGUAUGGGCAACAUCCAGCCGGUGCCUGAACCCCAUCCCACCGGCGCGGCUCACUGCAGUCGUGGUGCUUCUGCGCCACGCCGCCGUUGGUCAAUGCCCCGUCUUCCGCGGCUCUCCGUUGCUCCCUAUACAUUUUCUUCUCACCGAGAAGUAAUUCCUCCCUUGUCCUCUCAUGGUGACUAUUGCAGAAAAUAAACACACGGGGACGUGCUGCCCUCAGUCCUCUGUCGACGGAUCCAGCAGUGCAGGUUCUCCGGUGCGUGAAGUAUUGCCGGCGUCAUGCCCAUUGAGAAGAUGCAGAUUUUCUUUCUGGUUCUCUAGAUUGGUCUUGAUAAAGCUUUCAUACAGGAUGCAGCUUAAGCUGGAGUUCGUCGCUAAGCAGGAAACAUGGCUAUCAAUUAUCUUGUAUACAGAAGGUUUGGGACUGGAUCUUGUAAUGAAAGCUGGAGCAGAAGAAGUCCAGGAGGGAGAGCAGUUCGGCUUCCACGGCGCUGCCGACGUGCUCCCCUCGGCUUCCUGCAGUUCGAGGACGGACACCCCAGGUUCUCAAGCAGCAAAGUUAUCGCACAAAGUUGAACUUGCUGCUGCACCAUCUUCACCAAGUCAAACUUGCAACAGCCAGGGGAUCCACAGUCGUUGGGAGCUGUCCAAGUCCAGCUAUGACCGCAGUCCAAGUGGAACUGCGACCACCAUCUUCACCCAGUGCUGCACCCAUUGAGCACCCACACAGUGAGAACGCCAUCUCAUUGAGUGACAAUAUUAUGUAUGUUUGAUUUGCUCAACCUUAGAACUUGGAGAUAUUCACUCUAUUUUUCUAUGAUGAAGGCACACAUGAGAUCAUGUGCUAUGGUUAUCCCCCUAUUUUGUUUCUUCAAAUGUGUAUUUUGUUUCUUAUAAUGUGUUGUUCCCUUGUUCGAUGAGGUAAAACAAAGAAAAAUAGUGAAAAUG
Molecule: ribosomal RNA, 1109 nt
Filed under: Triticum aestivum (bread wheat)
Lineage: Eukaryota; Viridiplantae; Streptophyta; Magnoliopsida; Poales; Poaceae
Description: partial small subunit ribosomal RNA
Source: RNAcentral